This 454-nucleotide ribosomal RNA is filed under the name uncultured bacterium. RNAcentral describes it as "bacterial SSU rRNA". It matches the Rfam family "Bacterial small subunit ribosomal RNA", at positions 340 to 786 of the family's 1533-position model. The record is from RNAcentral.
UACGGAAGGCAGCAGUGGGGAAUAUUGCACAAUGGGCGCAAGCCUGAUGCAGCCAUGCCGCGUGUAUGAAGAAGGCCUUCGGGUUGUAAAGUACUUUCAGUCGUGAGGAAGGUGUUAAGGUUAAUAACCUUAGCAAUUGACGUUAGCGACAGAAGAAGCACCGGCUAACUCCGUGCCAGCAGCCGCGGUAAUACGGAGGGUGCGAGCGUUAAUCGGAAUUACUGGGCGUAAAGGGCACGCAGGCGGUUAAUUAAGUUGGAUGUGAAAUCCCCGGGCUUAACCUGGGAAUGGCAUUCAAGACUGGUUAGCUAGAGUCUUGUAGAGGGGGUAGAAUUCCAUGUGUAGCGGUGAAAUGCGUAGAGAUGUGGAGGAAUACCGGUGGCGAAGGCGGCCCCUGGGACAAAGACUGACGCUCAUGUGCGAAAGCGUGGGGAGCGAAACAGGAUUAGAUACC